RNAcentral lists this long non-coding RNA (4602 nucleotides) under Aquilegia coerulea. RNAcentral describes it as "long non-coding RNA (ACOE_LNC001010)". The record is from RNAcentral. Lineage: Eukaryota; Viridiplantae; Streptophyta; Magnoliopsida; Ranunculales; Ranunculaceae.
AUAUGCUUUGGAAGUGUAAAAACAUUUGUUUCUCAUUUUAUUUUUUUUGUGUGUUCUGUAGAAUGAAGAUAAAGAUCGGAAGUUCACGGUGGAUGAAGCACUUGUGGCCAUGGGGUUUGGGAGAUUUCAAUACCUUGUACUUGGUUAUGCUGGAAUGGGUUGGAUUUCAGAAGCAAUGGAGAUGAUGCUUCUAUCUUUUGUAGGACCUGCUGUUCGGGAUGAGUGGAAGCUUUCUUCUCAUGCAGAGAGCUUGAUAACCAGUAUUGUUUUUGCUGGUAUGCUUGUCGGAGCAUACUCAUGGGGAAUUGUUUCAGAUAAGCAUGGAAGGAGGCAAGGUCCUAUUACAUUUUAUAGAUAGUAUAUGAAUGACUAUAUGUAUGUUUUUACAUUUGAUGCACAUCACUUCUCCUACUUUUAUCCCUUCCCGGUCAUUGAUCCUUUUUUAUUAAUUCUAGAAUAUUGAAAACAAAUGAAGCAAGCUAAGACACAAACAUUGUGAUUGUAAAACACAAACAAACACUUCUUUCUGCUUCUAAUACCUAUCUUGAUGUUAUUCUUUCCAGGAAUGGAUUUCUUAUUACUGCACUAGUUACUUCUUUAGCUGGUUUCCUAAGUAGUUUUGCCCCAAACUACAUUGCACUGAUAGUCCUUCGUUGUUUGGUUGGUCUUGGGUUGGGAGGGAGUCCUGUGCUUUCUUCAUGGUUUUUAGAGUUUAUUCCUGCUCCUGACAGAGGUACUUGGAUGGUUGUGUUUUCGGCUUUCUGGACAGUUGGAACGAUUUUGGAGGCUUCACUUGCAUGGGUAUGCUUGUUGUUUUUAUUUCAUAUAUACCCAUCUCGUUAUAAGUUUACUGAUAUUUGAAUAAGUAAACAUACUAGUGUUCUUGGAUGUUUUGUUGUCCUUGAGCCAGUGGAAGGGCGACGGAGGAGCCAAAUUCUUGAAUAGUAUGUGGUAUACCACUAACACACAUCACAAUGUGGUAGGAUUAUAAUAUAUACAGUUAUACACACUAACACACAUUGAGUCAUUAACACAUUGUGAUGGCAUUCCUAUUACAUUGUUUCCUAUAAUAGUAAAUUAAACAGAUCAUAAUGCGAAAAUGACUUCCUGCCGUUGUAAUUUUCACCUGCCUGCCAUUCCUGCAGAUUGUCAUGCCAACACUGGGUUGGAGAUGGUUGCUUGCACUGUCUGCAUUGCCAUCAUUCAUUCUGCUUCUGUUUUUUAGUUUUGCACCAGAAUCACCAAGGUAUUUGUGUUUGAAUGGAAGAAAAACUGAAGCACUUGCUAUUUUGAAGAUAAUAGCAAAACUGAAUCGUGUGGAGCUGCCUUCUGGUGUGCUUGUUAGUGAGCAUAAACCUGAGCUUAAUGAAAAUGUUACACCAACGGAAGAUACUGAUAUAGUCUCCACUGACUCUAAUGAAAAUAAAGCUAAGGUUCCUAAGAAUAUGGAUUCUAAAACCAAAAGUGCUUCUUCUCUAUCUAUGCUCCUUUCGAAAAAUUUAAUCAGAUCAACCCUCCUCCUCUGGUUGGUAUUUUUCGGGAUACAAUUUUCGUAUUAUGGCCUUGUAUUGCUGACUACGGAGUUAACCAGUGGUAACAGCUCAUGUGGUGGCUCGCAUUCAGAGAAGUCCCAAAUUACAAAUCCCUACAGAGAUGUUUUCAUCGCUAGUUUUGCAGGUAAAGCUUACCUCAAUGUGCUUAAAUACAAUUUGUUCAAAUGUUCUGUUUAUGGAAACCAACUUUGUGCUCUGCAAUUGAUUUCAUUUUUUACAUAAAGAUGGUAUUUAACUAUAAAUUGCUUUCAGAAUUUCCUGGGAUUUUGUUAUCCGGAGUCAUUGUGGACAGAUUGGGUCGGAAGCUUUCGAUGUCAGCUCUGUUCUUCAUAUGUUGUUUUUUCCUCCCCCCGUUAAUGCAUCAUCGGUCUGAGACCAUAACAACAGCUCUUCUAUUUGGAGCUCGCAUAUGCAUUACAGGAACUUUUACAAUUGUGUUUAUUUACGCCCCAGAGGUUCGUCAUAUAAAAUUCACUGUCAUUCUUGAAAGGUCACUUUUACAUUAUUCUUAAACUACUGAAGCAUCUACAUAUUUUCAAAGGGACUGUCAUUCACUGUAAUCAACCUUUGCCCCUUUGAAAAUGCACAAUUUUCAUGUAUCUCAAACGGUGUCAUGUGGCAUACUCGAUCUGGCAACUUGGGUUGACAUUAAACUCUGUUGGUCGACUAUUAUAUGGAAAUGACCCUAGAACCACACUAGUAGCAGUUUAGCACAGUUAUGUAAGUCUCAAAUAUUUGUUUAUGGAUAUAGUGUAUGUUCGAGAGUAUGACCUGCUAGGCUGCUACAAAAAAAAUAGUAUGCUAUGUUGAGAAAAUAUUAUUGAUACCAUGCAUCUGCUUCCUUCUUGCAUAGUUGUCGUAAUAAAGUUAGCUUAAGGUGUGUCACCAAGGAUAUACCCAGAUUAAAAUACAUCUUAAAUGAGUGUACCAAACAUUUAAUUUCUAAAUGAUAUUUACUACUGCAGAUAUAUCCAACCUCAAUUAGGACGACUGGUGUUGGGAUUGCAAGUGCUAUGGGAAGAAUUGGGGGGAUGGUAUGCCCUCUGGUGGCAGUCGGAUUGGUACAUGGAUGUCAUCAAACUGCAGCUAUUCUUCUAUUUGAGCUUAUAAUAUUCUUUUCGGGCGUUGCUGUUCUAUUCUUCCCAUUUGAAACAAAAGGCCGUGUUCUGAGUGACAGUGUAUCUGAAAUAAAACAGAAUAAACCGGCAGUCUGAAAUUCAUAGAUGUAAUGGUGAGUGGGAAUAAUGGAUGGCAUGGUUCUGUUACCUCAACACCUUUAGCAUCCUUGGCUCAAGAAGCUGAUCGGGACAAUGGGACGGAUGGCAUUAGCUUAUGCAAUGGCACAAGUGUUGGCAGUGGCACUUGUAUUUAACUGAAAUGGAAAUGAUAAUACUAGUGCUAGUAAGUAGUAAGACUGGAAACAUAGAAUCGACACUUUUGUAAUGUUUGGUUUGUUUCAACAUUGGUAGGUAGGUAGAAUUCUGAAUGUUUCUCUACUUGAGCUUGAGGGGAUGAUGUUGUGUUUAAAGUUAUGGAUAGUAGUCUUGUUCAUCUCCAAGUAAUGUGAUGAUGUAAAUAUGUAAUUGUAUAUCCUCCAUUUUUAGGGUUUAGUUUUUAUUUGAUUAUCCUCUGUCAAGUGUCAAGUAAACAACUACAGCAACACUACCUGACAUAUGACCUGUUUAUAUGUCCACCAAACAACCUGAGUGAUCUCUGACUGAGAAAGUCUCAGCUCGUCCGUACGUGUACAAUGUAUACGUAACACCAUUAAUUGUACGACAAAAUUAAUUGAUUACAUUAUAUACACUCUUUCAUUUCAUAUAAAACCCAACAAAACUACGAUGGCUUGAUCUACAUAACGCUGAAGUGCAAUCACUUUUUUUUUUUUUUUGACCUUGCUCGACGCAAAUAGCAAGCUUGAUGAUUAUAGUUGAUGGUGUUGAUCCUAAAUCUGGUCAAGACAAUAUAUUCAAAGAAUGAUGAAAGCAAUGUUGAAAUUGAAUAGUUAUGUAAUUGUCCAUUUGUGUUUCAAAGUGUAUUUGCUUAUCCUCAAAAAACCUGUGUCCUUUGUUCCCUAAAUUCAUGCAUUACCUUAUCCAUCAUCAUUCAUCCAGUCAAACUUGAUAUUUGCACGCAUAAAUAUUUCCUACAUACACCCACACAAAAAAAAAGCCCCACUAUUUGAAUUGAAUAGAAAAUGGGGUGAGUUGAGUAUAACAAGGUGGGUGCAAAAAUUAAAGAAAAAAAAAAAAACAACCACCCCACCCCAACAUCAUUUUCUUCCCUCUCGAUUUAAUGUUAAGUUUUGGCUUUUGCCUUUGCGUGCUUGCUUGCUUAAGGUGAUGGGGUCAAUGGCGAUGGAUGGUCAACAACAUGAACAUGAACAGGUACAAAUAACAUUUUCUAAAUCUCAAAAUUCCAUUUUACAGAAGAAGAGAAACCAACCCAUGUUCUUCUUUCUAAUCUAUUAAUCAAUUAAUCUUUUUUUUUUUGGUGAGAAUCAAUCAAUUAAUCUUAAAGCUAAUAAUUAUAUACCAUUAUUGGCCAGGUUUUUUUUUUUUGUUUUGUGUAAUAUUUCUACGUCAAUUUAUAUGCUUUUUUUGACAUAUUAUAUGAUUUGUUUCUUCAAUGAUUUAAUUUUCAAUAACUUUUUUGUUUUAUUCUUUGUGAUAUUUUUUGCCAAAAUAUUAGAAGGGUACUUUUUAUUUAUUUAUUUCUAAUAUUGGGAGAGGAGAGGGGGGGGGGGGGGGAUGUAGGCAGUGAUGUUGUUGUUGUUGUUGUUGUUGUUGUUGUUGUUGUUGUUAUAGGCUUUGGAAGUGUAACAACAUAUGUUUCUCAUUUUGUUUUGUGUGUUCUGCAGAUGGAAGGAAGGAAUCCAAAGUUUACGGUGGAUGAAGCACUUGUGGCAAUGGGGUUUGGGAAAUUUCAAUACCUUGUGCUUGCUUAUGCUGGAAUGGGUUGGAUUGCAGAAGCAAUGGAGAUGAUGCUUCUAUCUUUUGUAGGACCUGCUGUUCAGGCUGAGUGGGGGCUUUCUUCUCAUCAAGAGAGC